RNAcentral lists this ribosomal RNA (485 nucleotides) under uncultured bacterium. Its description in RNAcentral is "partial 16S ribosomal RNA". It matches the Rfam family "Bacterial small subunit ribosomal RNA", at positions 28 to 507 of the family's 1533-position model. The record is from RNAcentral.
GAUGAACGCUAGCGGUAGGCUUAACACAUGCAAGUCGAGGGGCAGCGAGGGUAGCAUUACCUGUCGGCGACCGGCGCACGGGUGAGUAACGCGUAUGUAACCUGCCCGCAACAGGGGGAUAACCCGGCGAAAGUCGGACUAAUACCGCAUAAAACAGGGGUCCCGCAUGGGAAUAUUUGUUAAAGAUGUAUCGGUUGGGGAUGGGCAUGCGUACCAUUCGGUAGUUGGUGAGGUAACGGCUCACCAAGCCUUCGAUGGAUAGGGGUUCGGAGAGGAAGGUCCCCCACACGGGUACCGAGACACGGACCACACUCCUACGGGGGGCAGCAGUGAGGAAUGUAGGUCAAGGGACGAUAGCCUGAACCAGCCAAGUCGCAUGAAGGAUGACUGCCCUAUGGGUUGUAAACUUCUUUUACAAGAGAAUAAUAUGAGGUACGUGUAUUUUAUUGAAGGUACCUUGUAAAUAAGCAUCGGCUAACUCCGUG